CCCCCAAAGACCGAGGAUGGCGUCGAGAAUCUCUUGGAGAGGAUGGAUCGGAUGGUCGCCCACGGCCCCGCCUUCUGCGACAUUACCUGGGGUGCCGGUGGCUCCACCGCCGAUCUCACUCUCGACAUUGCCAACAAGAUGCAGAACCUCAUCUGCGUCGAGAGCAUGAUGCACCUCACCUGCACCAACAUGCCCGUCGACAAGAUCGACCACGCCCUCCAAACCAUCAAGUCCAACGGCCUCCAGAACGUUCUUGCUCUCCGCGGCGACCCGCCCCAUGGCCAGGACAAGUUUGUUCAGAUCCAAGGAGGCUUUGCCUGCGC
This 323-nucleotide long non-coding RNA is filed under the name Malus domestica (apple). RNAcentral's name for it is "long non-coding RNA (MDOM_LNC014571)". The record is from RNAcentral. Lineage: Eukaryota; Viridiplantae; Streptophyta; Magnoliopsida; Rosales; Rosaceae.